This is a long non-coding RNA of Leptidea sinapis, 1375 nucleotides long. RefSeq lists it as uncharacterized. The transcript is spliced from 4 exons. Lineage: Eukaryota; Metazoa; Arthropoda; Insecta; Lepidoptera; Pieridae. The record is from RefSeq and is a predicted model, not a curated record.
AUAACUAUAUAAAUAUAGCUGAUUUCUAUCAAAUAGCUCAUUUAGCUUUAAACACCAUGAAACUUCUAAUCAUAUGUGCAAUAUUUCUUACAUACACAGCGAGUGGUGAAAAAGAUGAAACACAUAAAGAAGUAGUUUUUGUUUCACCCGUUUUAUCUGCAAAAAGUGGUAGGGCAAGAGAGACGGAAACAGCCAAGGAUUUUCCUUUGUUGAAGCUGUUUUCAUCGAGCAAUAUGACUGUGAUGAUAAUGAAUAAAGAAGAAUCUUCUCAGCCGAUAUACCAUGUAAAGAGACUUGAAGAUAAAGAAAAACGAUAAAUAAUACAAUUCUUCAUUGAAGCAUCGCAAUAUAUUAUGUUAAAUAUAAUUUGUUUGUAAAAAAUUAAACAAUAAUAUGCUAUGGUGGGUACUAUAUAGAUAGGUAGCUAUGUAGAUACAUAUGUUUUCACUUAGUCAUUGUGUUUCUGGUAUACAUUUAUAAUAAACAAGAAAUAUAACAAACUUACCAACAACAGACUAUGGUAGGUACUGCUGGAUACUAUGUAGAUAAAUAUAAUUUAUAAUAAGAUUCAUUGUGUUUCUGGUAUACAUUUAUAAUAAACAACAAAUAUAACAAACUUACCAACAACAGACUAUGGUAGGUACUGCUGGAUACUAUGUAGAUAAAUAUAAUUUAUAAUAAGAUUCAUUGUGUUUCUGGUAUACAUUUAUAAUAAACAACAAAUAUAACAAACUUACCAACAACAGACUAUGGAAGGUACUGCUGGAUACUAUGUAGAUAAAUAUAAUUUAUAAUAAGAUUCAUUGUGUUUCUGGUAUACAUUUAUAAUAAACAACAAAUAUAACAAACUUACCAACAACAGACUAUGGUAGGUACUGCUGGAUACUAUGUAGAUAAGUAUAAUUUAUAAUAAGAUUCAUUGUGUUUCUUGAAUACAUUUAUAAUAAACAACAAAUUUAACAAACUUACCAACAACGACUAUGGUAGGUACUGCUGGAUACUAUGUAGAUAAAAAUAAUUUUUAAUAAGAUUCAUUGUGUUUCUUGAAUAUAUUUAUAAUAAACAACAAAUGUAAUAAACUUUUAAUAUUAUGCUAUGGUAGUUUCUGCUGAAUACUAUGUACAUUAAUAUAAUUUUCAAUAAGAUUCAUUGUUUUUCUUGUAUACAUUUAUAAUAAACAACAAAUGUAACAAACUUAUAAUAUUUGGCUAUGGUAGGUUCUGCUGAAUACUUUGUACAUUAAUAUAAUUUUCAAUAAGAUUCAUUGUUUUUCUUGUAUACAUUUAUAAUAAACAACAAAUGUAACAAACUUAUAAUAUUUGGCUAUGGUAGGUUCUGCUGAAUACUUUGUACAUUAAUAUAAUUUUCAAUAAGA